This is a non-coding RNA of Chlorocebus sabaeus (green monkey), 968 nucleotides long. The record is from RefSeq and is a predicted model, not a curated record. Lineage: Eukaryota; Metazoa; Chordata; Mammalia; Primates; Cercopithecidae.
UGCAGUUAAAGCAGCAGGAAGCUUUAUUCUUCUUUUUAGUAAGAGAAAGAUAAUUUUGUUUCCAUUUCCAUUGGAUUCAUAAAUACAUAUGGCAAAAAUACCAUGCAGUUCAACAUUUUAUGUUGCAGGGAGCUACUCUAUGUCAUAAAGCGACCUAUUGUAAAGUAAAUCAUAUUUUCCCAUAGGAGCAAUGUUCUAAUAAAGGGCCUAUUCUUGGCUGAGAAUUUCACAUCCAAUAAAUCAAACCGAUGACCAACAAUAUGGUGGAAAAGCAGAACCAAACAAUAAAAUUACACUUCAAAGUCCAAGGAUUUCAGAACUCAAAAGGACCUCAGAGACGAUAGAGUCAUUUCCCCAAGCUGGGCCUUGCCACAGAAAAGUCAUGAUAAGAAAAGCAAAUGUCUUCGUUAAACAGCGGCCCCGAGGGAAAUCACGAAAGUUUGCAGAGGAUGCAGCAGGUGAGUCCUGUGUACGUCAGAGGAGCUUCGACGCUGCACAGCUGCCACUCGGGGGGACACUAUUGGCCUCGAUCACAUCAUGGAGACCACAUGGAUGCUGGGAAUGCACUUCCCAUUGGCCGAGCUGAGGACAGGAGCAGGCCGUGGGUGAGCCGGGGUUUCCAUUUCUCUUCCCACCAUGAGAAUUUUAUGCCAGUCAAUUUUAAUAUGAUAAUUUAUUUUGCAUUUUGCUAUUCUCACUAAGGUAUGCAUGGAUUGCAAAAGAUUGGGAAGUUUGUUCUUUGAUUCGAUUCUUUGAUUGGAUGGAUAGGAUCCUUCCAUCUCUUUAAGAAUGCCACCUCCUACUCCAACCCCAAUCCUGGCUUCCCAAAUUCCAAACUCCCAACACUUGAAAGGCCCAAACCUUGUUAGGUUUGAUGAUAGCAAUUUACAAUUAACAAAUAUGUUCGUAACGAGUGUUCCUUUCUGUAGGUUUGUUUAAAAGUGAAAACAAUGUGGCUAGUUAUAAAA